GAGUCCUACCAUAUAAAUAGAGCAGAAGACAGGGAGCAAAAGACAAACUCAAGGAGAGGAGAGACACAGCAAGAUACGCCAAGGAAACAGAAUCAAUUCACUUUGCCUGACUUCACUACAACAGCCAAGAGGUUCAUCUGAAAUUCUGGAAGAGAAAGUGGAGGAGAAAAGAAACAGUUCACAAUGAUCAUCAAGACGUUUAUCGUUGUCCUUACACUUCUUGCAUUCAACAGUCAGCCUGCUGAAGGAAGCCUGAGACAGAAAUGUCCCACAGGAAACACCACUAUGGCCCCAACAACAACACCAUCACACGCAGAAAUUGCAGCAACUGCAGCAAUAGCAAGUGCGAAAGCAGCAGCAACAGCGGCAUCAAUAGCAGCAGCA
Molecule: long non-coding RNA, 384 nt
Organism: Perca fluviatilis (European perch)
Lineage: Eukaryota; Metazoa; Chordata; Actinopteri; Perciformes; Percidae
Exons: 3
Source: RefSeq, a predicted model, not a curated record